RNAcentral lists this long non-coding RNA (383 nucleotides) under Homo sapiens (human). RNAcentral describes it as "non-protein coding lnc-GIMAP7-1:1". The record is from RNAcentral. Lineage: Eukaryota; Metazoa; Chordata; Mammalia; Primates; Hominidae.
UUCCAUUGUCAUAUAAGGAGUCAAAUUGUUUCUUAUCAUUUGUUCAUUGAAGAACAGAGACCUGUCUGGAAAAUCGAUCUCUACAAAUUCAAUUAAAUAAUGAUCCCCAAAUGCUGAAAAAGUGAAAUACAGCAAUUCAACAGAUAAUAGAGCAAUGUUUAGUAUAUUCAGCUGUAUCUGUAGAAACUCUUUGACGAACCUCAAUUUAACCAAUUUGAUGAAUACCCAGUUCUCUUCUUUUCUAGAGAAAGAUAGUUGCAACCUCACCUCCCUCACUCAACACUUUGAAUACUUAUUGUUUGGCAGGUCAUCCACACACUUCUGCCCCCACUGCAUUGAAUUUUUUGCUUAUGUUGUUUAUAAUAAAACUUUUCAAUUAUCUC